CAGCCGCCACGGUAAUACGUAGGGUGCAAGCGUUAAUCGGAAUUACUGGGCGUAAAGCGCACGCAGGCGGUCUGUCAAGUCAGAUGUGAAAUCCCCGGGCUUAACCUGGGAACUGCAUUUGAAACUGGCAGGCUAGAGUCUUGUAGAGGGGGGUAGAAUUCCAGGUGUAGCGGUGAAAUGCGUAGAGAUCUGGAGGAAUACCGGUGGCGAAGGCGGCCCCCUGGACAAAGACUGACGCUCAGGUGCGAAAGCGUGGGGAGCAAACAGGAUUAGAUACCCCCUGUAGUCCCUGUCUCUUAUU
This 301-nucleotide ribosomal RNA is filed under the name uncultured bacterium. Its description in RNAcentral is "partial 16S ribosomal RNA". It matches the Rfam family "Bacterial small subunit ribosomal RNA", at positions 509 to 808 of the family's 1533-position model. The record is from RNAcentral.